UUUAUUUAAAAAUUAAGGAAAGUGGAGCUGUUCAAAUCUGUACUUGAGUACAACGGAUUGUCCGAUUCAACAUAGGUUGAUGUGCGUAGUAAUAGAAAAAAAUGACUUCUUGUUCUUUUAUAUAUUUGACAUUGUAUUGCAUGUUUCAAAUAAUUUCUGUAUGUAUUAAAAAAAAAUAUAUAUUUUUUUUGUUGUGUUAAUUAGUUAUUUAAUUUAAGAGGUUGACUUAUUAUUGGCAUUUCUAAAUUAUUGACUUGAAUUUAAUAAAAUUUAAUCGGUUAUGAAUAUUAUAUAUGUGUGUGUAAUUUGAUAUAAAUAUCCUAUGUUAUUAUUU
Long non-coding RNA from Melitaea cinxia (Glanville fritillary), 334 nucleotides. RefSeq lists it as uncharacterized. The transcript is spliced from 2 exons. NCBI's taxonomy places the organism in Eukaryota, Metazoa, Arthropoda, Insecta, Lepidoptera, Nymphalidae. The record is from RefSeq and is a predicted model, not a curated record.